This is a long non-coding RNA of Harpia harpyja (harpy eagle), 989 nucleotides long. RefSeq lists it as uncharacterized. Lineage: Eukaryota; Metazoa; Chordata; Aves; Accipitriformes; Accipitridae. The transcript is spliced from 2 exons. The record is from RefSeq and is a predicted model, not a curated record.
AAUAGGAGCGAAUGUGUCAUACGUGCGGAGGCUGCGAGGAGAAGAGCUGUCAGGAGAAAGCAGCCUCGCUUGAAGGGGAGGAGGCGCUGAAGGUCAGUGUCACGACCGACCACAGGGCCUCCUCUCAAAACGCGUUUCCCGACAUCGUGCAGACCAGGGUUCCUGACUGACUGUGCCAGGCCACGUCACGGGCUCCUGAAGAGGAACUAACUUACAGGUCUUCCGAGUCUUCGCUUCGCCACGCUCCUGUAUACGCCGAGGGAGGCCAAAGCUCCGUCGCUCUGCAGGCGGGUCUGCGCUACGCUGUGUCUAGGUGGAGAACAGAGCGUAUUUUAAUUUGCAGCAGCAGCAGCAAGCUCCUGAUCUUGAGGAUCUCCACGUGCAGCUCAUUCUAGCCAGUCCUUCUCCACAGUAAGGCCAAGUGGGAGCUGUCUUCGCAGGAGCAGUGCCAGCUGAAAAUUCCCCUGCUUCCAGCUCCGUUGCACUCUUCCAGCAGCACAAGCAAACCAGAACACAGACAAGUAUGUUUCCCAGUAAACAGAAGUCACUUGCUCUUGCCUAAAAAAGGAGUGCAAGUAGGAAACGACUUCUUACAUGCACAGAAAUUCACGUUGCUCAUGGUGAUGUAGACUUUUGGUGAAAUCAGUUUAGGAUAAAAAGAAGUAAAUAUGACUCAGAAACAAACUUGAUGUUUAUAGAGACGAAACAUUAUUACUGAGGUCUUUUUUAAUGUUUUCAAGGCAUUGGAUAGCUACCUUCCCUUUGCAAACCUUGUGGGAUUGUUAAUAACACAGAGAAAGCAGACAUUCAAGCUUUGAACUUCCUGGUAAUGCAAAGAUAGCCCUUACGGAUCUCCUUUAAAGCUCAGUACCUACCAGUUCUUGCUAGACCUGCCAGUUCUACUGAUCUUUGAAUGCUAACAAGAUGAUGUGUGUUUUAUCUUAUUCAAUUUGAAGGCUAUUUGGGGUAAGUAAUAUCAUUGUAAAUGA